CAGCCAGGAAGGAGGAGGCAGCCAGAGUGGCCACCACUGCUUUCUGCAGCAGAAGACCCCCUGCUGCCUGUUUUGUUGCAGAUGUCUUUUAUCGUGAGCCAUGAAAAGAAACAAGCCUCCAUUUACAACUGAAUUUCCCUGUGUCCUCUUCACUGCAACAAUUUAAGAUAUCAAGGGUGCUUGCUACAGAGUAUGAGUGAUGGCAGGAUUCUUGGUCUGACUCCGUGGUUGAUGAGACUCACGUGACUGAAGGUCAACGCUGCAGAGGGAUAGACUCCAUUACGGGCCGGCUUUCUGAUCUCACUGUUCUGAAUUACAGAAGAAAGUCUGGCAGGAUUCCAAGUAUCAGGGCUGAAGGCUUGGGAAACAAGCAGAGACCAAAUCAGGGGGAAAAAGAGGAGAAGGUAGGAGACAACCUUGCUCCUCACUAGUCUUCCUUGUAACAGGGAUUCCCAGGUAUUGUUGACUAUAACUCCCAUUAUCCACAACUGCAGUGACCUUUGGCUGGGGAUGCUGGGAGUUGUAGUCAGCAGCACCUGCAAAUCCAUGUUACAGAGAACACUGCUCCCCACGUGCCCACAUUAUUUAGGAGGGCUGACUAGGAUCAAUAGUGUAGUGGAUAAGGAGUGCCUUCAGUCCCCCAGGGCGGAGUUAUAAUUGAGCACAUGGGUUCCUGUCUCUGGGGCUGCCUCAUUUACCCCUGAACAAAGCAGUGGGAGCACUGAAGACUCCAGGAAUGCUGGCUGCAGCAGUACCGCAUGGAACAUGCUGUCAUGGGGUGAGGGAGUCAUGUUGCUGGGGUGGACUUGCCGCAGCAGGGGAGGGAGUUGCUGUCACAGAGUGGGGUAGUUGCCAUCACUGCCGGUGGGGGGUCGAUGCCACCACACUGCCACCAAAAGGGAGAGGAUGCAGCCUCUGUGAACAUGGGCCGCUUAUACCCUCCCUCCCUGUUGGUCCCACUACUUAAACUAAACUUUCAUAGAGAAAUGGCCCACAGGACCCCUGUGCUCAUGCUUUGUUUUUGCAAUUACAUAUUUUCAAAUCAUGCAGGAAAAUGCUGUUUUAGGAAGCUGAGGCCCAACUCUCAGUUCCUCUGCAGAAGCUCUCUGUCAAUUUUCUGCUGUGUAUGCCUUCUAAUUAAAUUCAAAGCUCCCAUUAAUUUAGUGCCACCAGCUGUCCAACGAUCACAUCAAUACUUCCCAAACUUCCCAGCAAAAACUAAGAAUAAUUUAGCACAGCAUAUUGAUUCUUAAGAGCUAUGCCUUGUCAGCUGCUAUGAAAACAAAUGGAGUUCACUUGAGGGCAUAUCCUCAUUGUAACUGGAAUUGAGUUUGUUUUGUUUUGCAAUUCUUUCCUGCUAUUGAAAGGUUUGAAAUCUAAUUUGGCCUUAGGUAUUCAGUGGUGUGCAAAUCAAACUACCUUCCUUCUAAAGCAAAGAGGAAUGUUGUUAUGCAUGACAAGCAGUCGUUCCUCAAUAUACACAUGGCAAGUUCAUGAUUUCAGGAGGACAUGAAUGCCUUCAGCUCAUUCAGUCAAUAAAAGGCCACCUGCCUUCAUGUCUCAUAAAACUGGCACAGAAGAGCAUAUAGAGAGGGAUGUCCUCAAUGGCUUUCAUGCCAUUUUGGAAUUCCCUCCUCUUGGAGAAUUGCCAGAUUCUGAGUGCCUGAGGGUGUUCUACCUACACGUUACCUUCAUUGGUUAUAGAAACCUGGAUAUGGCCAAAUUAAAUAAUGCCCGUUGCAUACACUGUUGCUCAAGUAAAGUGAUCAUGAAAUUGCAUUCCUUCUCCUUGCCUUUGUAAUACAAGUGCAUUUACAUUAAUACAAAGAUUUAUCUUUAUUUCAAAUAAUUGUCCAGACAAUAAUUUGGUUUGGAUCUGGGAUAUAAUGCAUGUUUUGGAUAAAAAUACAUGUUUGCCCUAAUGCAUGAAUUUGGAAAUAAAACUGAAGGCUGAUAUGCAAUUCUGGCAUCAGAUUUGAUUAUGGCAGAUUUCACAUGGGACAUAACACCUCUUUCCUGAUUGGCCCAGUUCAUCUCAGUAUUUUCAUGCUGAAAUUCAUGCUCAGUAUUUUCAUGCUGGCUCAAAGAGUUGGGUGCCAAAGCCACAAUUAGUAUUUGAGCUGCAACAUAAAAACAAAAACAAAACCCCU
Molecule: long non-coding RNA, 2150 nt
Organism: Hemicordylus capensis (graceful crag lizard)
Lineage: Eukaryota; Metazoa; Chordata; Lepidosauria; Squamata; Cordylidae
Exons: 3
Source: RefSeq, a predicted model, not a curated record